UGGGGAAUUUUGGACAAUGGGCGAAAGCCUGAUCCAGCAAUGCCGCGUGUGUGAAGAAGGCCUUCGGGUUGUAAAGCACUUUUGUCCGGAAAGAAAUCCUUGGCUCUAAUACAGUCGGGGGAUGACGGUACCGGAAGAAUAGCACCGGCUAACUACGUGCCAGCAGCCGCGGUAAUACGUAGGGUGCAAGCGUUAAUCGGAAUUACUGGGCGUAAAGCGUGCGCAGGCGGUUUGCUAAGACCGAUGUGAAAUCCCCGGGCUCAACCUGGGAACUGCAUUGGUGACUGGCAGGCUAGAGUAUGGCAGAGGGGGGUAGAAUUCCACGUGUAGCAGUGAAAUGCGUAGAGAUGUGGAGGAAUACCGAUGGCGAAGGCAGCCCCCUGGGCCAAUACUGACGCUCAUGCACGAAAGCGUGGGGAGCAAACAGGAUUAGAUACCUGGUAGUCCACGCCCUAAACGAUGUCAACUAGUUGUUGGGGAUUCAUUUCCUUAGUAACGUAGCUAACGCGUGAAGUUGACCGCCUGGGGAGUACGGUCGCAAGAUU
RNAcentral lists this ribosomal RNA (545 nucleotides) under uncultured bacterium. Its description in RNAcentral is "partial 16S ribosomal RNA". It matches the Rfam family "Bacterial small subunit ribosomal RNA", at positions 355 to 895 of the family's 1533-position model. The record is from RNAcentral.